This 305-nucleotide ribosomal RNA is filed under the name uncultured bacterium. Its description in RNAcentral is "bacterial SSU rRNA". It matches the Rfam family "Bacterial small subunit ribosomal RNA", at positions 332 to 636 of the family's 1533-position model. The record is from RNAcentral.
CGGAUCCUACGGGGGGCAGCAGUGAGGAAUAUUGGUCAAUGGGCGAGAGCCUGAACCAGCCAAGUCGCGUGAGGGAAGACGGUCCUAUGGAUUGUAAACCUCUUUUGCCGGGGAGCAAAAAGCGGUACGUGUACCGCAUCGAGAGUACCCGGAGAAAAAGCAUCGGCUAACUCCGUGCCAGCAGCCGCGGUAAUACGGAGGAUGCGAGCGUUAUCCGGAUUUAUUGGGUUUAAAGGGUGCGCAGGCGGCGAGUUAAGUCAGCGGUAAAAUUUCGGGGCUCAACCCCGGCGAGCCGUUGAAACUGG